AGGGUCCUACGGGGCGCAGCAGUGAGGAAUAUUGGUCAAUGGGCUUACGCCUGCACCCGCCAAGUCGCGUGAGGGAAGACUGCCCUAUGGGUUGUAAACCUCUUUUGUCAGGGAGCAAUUGGCGCUACGUGUAGCGUUAUCGAGAGUACCUGAAGAAAAAGCAUCGGCUAACUCCGUGCCAGCAGCCGCGGUAAUACGGAGGAUGCGAGCGUUAUCCGGAUUUAUUGGGUUUAAAGGGUGCGUAGGC
Molecule: ribosomal RNA, 247 nt
Filed under: uncultured bacterium
Lineage: Bacteria
Description: partial 16S ribosomal RNA
Rfam family: Bacterial small subunit ribosomal RNA
Source: RNAcentral